UACGUAGGGGGCAAGCGUUGUCCGGAUUUAUUGGGCGUAAAGAGCGUGUAGGCGGCUAGGUAGGUCCGUUGUGAAAACUCGAGGCUCAACCUCGAGACGUCGAUGGAAACCAUCUGGCUAGAGUCCGGAAGAGGAGAGUGGAAUUCCUGGUGUAGCGGUGAAAUGCGCAGAUAUCAGGAGGAACACCGGUGGCGAAGGCGGCUCUCUGGACCACAACUGACGCUGAGGCGCGAAAGCUAGGGGAGCAAACAGG
Molecule: ribosomal RNA, 253 nt
Filed under: uncultured bacterium
Lineage: Bacteria
Description: partial 16S ribosomal RNA
Rfam family: Bacterial small subunit ribosomal RNA
Source: RNAcentral